Molecule: RNA transcript, 1301 nt
Organism: Lactuca sativa (garden lettuce)
Lineage: Eukaryota; Viridiplantae; Streptophyta; Magnoliopsida; Asterales; Asteraceae
Gene name: splicing factor U2af small subunit A
Source: RefSeq, a predicted model, not a curated record
UCCUCAUGGCUCUCCUCUUUCUGCACAUAAAACUGAAACCCUAGUGUGAGCUAGGAGAAACGAAGAAGAUCCUGUUCCUGACUUGCUCAUCCAUGGCGGAGCAUUUAGCGUCGAUCUUCGGGACGGAGAAGGACAGAGUCAAUUGUCCAUUUUACUUCAAGAUUGGAGCCUGUAGGCAUGGCGAUCGAUGUUCCAGGCUCCACACAAAACCUAGCAUUAGUCCUACAUUGUUACUGUCUAACAUGUACCAGCGCCCUGAUAUGAUCACUCCUGGCGUCGAUGCUCAAGGAAAUCCAAUCGAUCCUCGAAAAAUCCAAGAUCACUUCGAGGAUUUCUAUGAAGAUCUCUUCGAGGAGCUGAACAAGUAUGGGGAAAUCGAAAGCUUGAAUGUUUGUGACAACCUUGCUGACCACAUGGUGGGAAAUGUAUAUGUUCAGUUUAGGGAAGAAGAAUACGCUGCAAAAGCACUCAAGAAUCUCACUGGAAGAUACUACGCAGGUCGACCAAUCAUUGUUGACUUCUCACCUGUGACUGAUUUCCGGGAAGCAACUUGCAGACAAUAUGAAGAAAACACCUGCAAUCGUGGUGGAUACUGCAACUUCAUGCAUCUAAAAAGAAUUGGCAGGGAAUUGAGGAGAGAGCUGUUUGGUAGGUAUAGAAGAAGGCAUAGUCGUAGCAGAAGUAGGAGUAGAAGUCCAUACAGACAUCGAAGCUAUGAAGAGCGAGGGCAUUCUGGUCAUUCUCAUAGCAGAAGAUAUGAUGACAGGGAUAGAGACAGGGAUUACUACCAUGAGAGAGGGUCAAGAAGGCAUAGAAGCACAAGCCCUCUUCAUAGGAGACAGCUUAGUCCUGUUAGGGAAGGUAGUGAAGAAAGGCGUGCAAAAAUUGAGGAAUGGAAUAGGAAAAGGGAAGAAGCAGCAAAAGUCAACAUGGUCAAUGAUUAUGAGCAUUGAAUUGCUUCUGUUUGUUUUUCUGGUUAGUUUUUUUUUUCAUCUUUUUAACUUUCAUUUUUGUAUGCAUACAUGCUUGUGGUUUUGCAGUCAGGUUCAGUGUGAUAGGAACUCUUCAAAGCUUAGGGAUUUGCAUAUGAAUGGAGUCUACAAUCUACAUGUAAUGAGGUUAGGGAUGAUUGAGUAUUAGUUAAGUUGGUGAAGAUUUCUGCCCAAUUUGAAAGCAGUGAUUUGGUAUUAUUUGGUGUUAUUGAAUCUUUUGUAGUUUGAUGCAAAUGUAUUAUGAUAUUAAGCAGGUUUAAUGAUUUCUUCUAAAGCAAGUGCUUUAUGAGAAAAGAUUAUUUUUAGUUA